CAGCACCUCAAGUGGUCAGGAUGAUUAUUGGGCCUAAAGCAUACGUAGCCGGCGCUGUAAGUUUUCGGUUAAAUCUGUACGCUCAACGUACAGGCUGCCGGGAAUACUGCAGCGCUAGGGAGUGGGAGAGGUAGACGGUACUCGGUAGGAAGGGGUAAAAUCCUUUGAUCUAUUGAUGACCACCUGUGGCGAAGGCGGUCUACCAGAACACGUCCGACGGUGAGGGAUGAAAGCUGGGGGAGCAAACCGGAUUAGAUACCCGAGUAGUCC
Molecule: ribosomal RNA, 270 nt
Filed under: uncultured archaeon
Lineage: Archaea
Description: partial 16S ribosomal RNA
Rfam family: Archaeal small subunit ribosomal RNA
Source: RNAcentral